AGCCUCUCUUGUGUUCUGUUGUGG
Molecule: non-coding RNA, 24 nt
Filed under: Arabidopsis thaliana (thale cress)
Lineage: Eukaryota; Viridiplantae; Streptophyta; Magnoliopsida; Brassicales; Brassicaceae
Source: RNAcentral